Molecule: ribosomal RNA, 274 nt
Filed under: uncultured bacterium
Lineage: Bacteria
Description: partial 16S ribosomal RNA
Rfam family: Bacterial small subunit ribosomal RNA
Source: RNAcentral
AUACGGAGGGUCCGAGCGUUAAUCGGAAUUACUGGGCGUAAAGCGCGCGUAGGCGGCUAUAUAAGUCAGAUGUGAAAUCCCCGGGCUCAACCUAGGAACUGCAUUUGAAACUGUAUGGCUAGAGUAUGGUAGAGGUGAGUGGAAUUUCAGGUGUAGCGGUGAAAUGCGUAGAGAUCUGAAGGAACAUCAGUGGCGAAGGCGACUCACUGGGCCAUUACUGACGCUGAGGUGCGAAAGCGUGGGUAGCAAACAGGAUUAGAAACCCUAGUAGUCC